RNAcentral lists this ribosomal RNA (717 nucleotides) under uncultured bacterium. Its description in RNAcentral is "bacterial SSU rRNA". It matches the Rfam family "Bacterial small subunit ribosomal RNA", at positions 8 to 721 of the family's 1533-position model. The record is from RNAcentral.
AGAGUUUGAUCCUGGCUCAGGAGGAACGCUAGCGGGAGGCCUAACACAUGCAAGUCGAACGGGAUUGGGAGCUUGCUCCCAUGAGAGUGGCGCACGGGUGAGUAACGCGUAUGCAACCUACCUUUAACUGAGGGAUAGCCCAUAGAAAUGUGGAUUAAUACCUCAUAGUUCUUUUGGCCCGNAUGGGAUGAAAGAUAAAGCUCCGGCGGUUAAAGAUGGGCAUGCGUGACAUUAGCUAGUUGGUGAGGUAACGGCUCACCAAGGCUACGAUGUCUAGGGGUUCUGAGAGGAUGAUCCCCCACACUGGUACUGAGACACGGACCAGACUCCUACGGGAGGCAGCAGUGAGGAAUAUUGGUCAAUGGGCGNAAGCCUGAACCAGCCAUCCCGCGUGCAGGAUGAAGGCCCNAUGGGUCGUAAACUGCUUUUAUACACCAAGAAAAACACCCACGUGUGGGUGCCCGACGGUAGUGUAUGAAUAAGCAUCGGCUAACUCCGUGCCAGCAGCCCSCGGUAAUACGGAGGAUGCAAGCGUUAUCCCGGAUUCAUUGGGUUUAAAGGGUGCGUAGGCGGCUCUUUAAGUCAGUGGUGAAAUCUUGCCGCUUAACGGUAAAAUUGCCAUUGAUACUGAAGAGCCUUGAGUACAGUUGAGGUAAGCGGAAUGUGUAGUGUAGCGGUGAAAUGCUUAGAUAUUACACAGAACACCAAUUGCGAAGG